Molecule: ribosomal RNA, 303 nt
Filed under: Pelobates cultripes (western spadefoot toad)
Lineage: Eukaryota; Metazoa; Chordata; Amphibia; Anura; Pelobatidae
Rfam family: Eukaryotic small subunit ribosomal RNA
Source: RNAcentral
AAUAUUGGGACAUAUAAAAAAAGACAACUCUGUUCCGUAGAGUAGCUGUUGACAUUAUAGUUGCGCAAGAACUUUGUUGACUCUAGAGAACCUCAGGCAAAUCGCACAUCCCCGUGGCGGCGACUUUGCAUGCGGAUGUCAUCGAUAUCAACUUUCGAUGCCAGUUUCUGUGCCUACCAUUGUGACCACGGGUAAUGAGGAAUCAGGAUUCCAAUCCGUACAGGGACCCUGAUAAAUGGCUACCACAUGCAAGGAAGGCAGCAGGCGCGCAAAUGACCCACUCCCGACGCGGGACGGUAGUGA